This 294-nucleotide ribosomal RNA is filed under the name uncultured bacterium. RNAcentral describes it as "partial 16S ribosomal RNA". It matches the Rfam family "Archaeal small subunit ribosomal RNA", at positions 455 to 747 of the family's 1478-position model. The record is from RNAcentral.
GUGGCCAGCCGCCGCGGUAAUACCGGCAGCCCGAGUGAUGGCCACUCUUAUUGGGCCUAAAGCGUCCGUAGCUGGCCGCACAAGUCUAUCGGAAAAUCCACCCGCUCAACGGGUGGGCGUCCGGUAGAAACUGUGUGGCUUGGGACCGGAAGGCGCGACGGGUACGUCCGGGGUAGGAGUGAAAUCCCGUAAUCCUGGACGGACCGCCGAUGGCGAAAGCACGUCGCGAAGACGGAUCCGACAGUGAGGGACGAAAGCUAGGGUCUCGAACCGGAUUAGAUACCCCAGUAGUCC